AGGACGAACGCUGGCGGCGUGCUUAACACAUGCAAGUCGAGCGGAAAGGCCCUUCGGGGUACUCGAGCGGCGAACGGGUGAGUAACACGUGAGUAAUCUGCCCCUAGCUCUGGGAUAGCUCCGGGAAACCGGGAUUAAUACUGGAUACGACCACCUUAGACAUCUUUUGUGGUGGAAAGAAUUUCGGCUAGGGAUGAGCUCGCGGCCUAUCAGCUUGUUGGUGGGGUAACGGCCUACCAAGGCGACGACGGGUAGCCGGCCUGAGAGGGCGACCGGCCACACUGGGACUGAGACACGGCCCAGACUCCUACGGGAGGCAGCAGUGGGAAUAUUGCGCAAUGGGCGAAAGCCUGACGCAGCGACGCCGCGUGGGGGAUGGAAGGCCUUCGGGUUCGUAAACCCCUUUCAGCAGGGACGAAGCGAAAGUGACGGUACCUGCAGAAGAAGCGCCGGCUACUACGCGCCAGCAGCCGC
Molecule: ribosomal RNA, 474 nt
Filed under: uncultured bacterium
Lineage: Bacteria
Description: SSU rRNA
Rfam family: Bacterial small subunit ribosomal RNA
Source: RNAcentral